This 203-nucleotide microRNA precursor is filed under the name Triticum aestivum (bread wheat). Its description in RNAcentral is "MIR1435 microRNA precursor family". It matches the Rfam family "MIR1435 microRNA precursor family". RNAcentral also lists the same sequence under 1 other name. The record is from Rfam by way of RNAcentral. Lineage: Eukaryota; Viridiplantae; Streptophyta; Magnoliopsida; Poales; Poaceae.
UAGGUUUGUGCUAAGUUAAACUUUCUUCACUUUGACCAAAUUUAUAGAAAAGUUUACUAAUAUCUACAACAUCAAAUAUAUAUAUAGCAUGAAAAUAUAUUUUAUAACGAAUCUAAUGAAACUAAUUUGUUGUUGUAGAUGUUGAUAUAUUUUCCUAUAGACUAGGUCAAACCUAAAAAAGGUUUGAAUUAGAAUGAAACUAG